CUACGUGCCAGCAGCCGCGGUAAUACGGAGGGUGCGAGCGUUAAUCGGAAUAACUGGGCGUAAAGGGCACGCAGGCGGUGACUUAAGUGAGGUGUGAAAGCCCCGGGCUUAACCUGGGAAUUGCAUUUCAUACUGGGUCGCUAGAGUACUUUAGGGAGGGGUAGAAUUCCACGUGUAGCGGUGAAAUGCGUAGAGAUGUGGAGGAAUACCGAAGGCGAAGGCAGCCCCUUGGGAAUGUACUGACGCUCAUGUGCGAAAGCGUGGGGAGCAAACAGGAUUAGAUACCCUGGUAGUCCACGCUGUAAACGAUGUCGAUUUGGGGGUUGAGCUUUGAGCUUGGCGCCCGUAGCUAACGUGAUAAAUCGACCGCCUGGGGAGUACGGCCGCAAGGUUAAAACUCAAAUGAAUUGACGGGGGCCCGCACAAGCGGUGGAGCAUGUGGUUUAAUUCGAUGCAACGCGAAGAACCUUACCUACUCUUGACA
RNAcentral lists this ribosomal RNA (484 nucleotides) under uncultured bacterium. RNAcentral describes it as "bacterial SSU rRNA". It matches the Rfam family "Bacterial small subunit ribosomal RNA", at positions 501 to 986 of the family's 1533-position model. The record is from RNAcentral.